GACGAACGCUGGCGGCGUGCCUAACACAUGCAAGUCGAGCGAAGUGCUUAUAACGGAUUCCUUCGGGAUGAAGAUAUAAGUAUCUUAGCGGCGGAUGGGUGAGUAACGCGUGAGAAACCUGCUUUUCACAAAGGAAUAGCCUCGGGAAACUGGGAUUAAUACCUUAUGAUACUUCUACUUCGCAUGAAGAAGAGGUUAAAGCGUAAAGCGGUGAGAGAUGGUCUCGCGUCCCAUUAGUUAGUUGGUGAGGUAAUGGCUCACCAAGACGACGAUGGGUAGCCGGCCUGAGAGGGUGGCCCCCCACAAUGGUACUGAAACACGGACCAUACACCUACGGGUGGCAG
This 344-nucleotide ribosomal RNA is filed under the name uncultured Bacteroidota bacterium. RNAcentral describes it as "bacterial SSU rRNA". It matches the Rfam family "Bacterial small subunit ribosomal RNA", at positions 28 to 351 of the family's 1533-position model. Lineage: Bacteria; Pseudomonadati; Bacteroidota. The record is from RNAcentral.